RNAcentral lists this ribosomal RNA (254 nucleotides) under uncultured bacterium. RNAcentral's name for it is "partial 16S ribosomal RNA". It matches the Rfam family "Bacterial small subunit ribosomal RNA", at positions 524 to 776 of the family's 1533-position model. The record is from RNAcentral.
UACGUAGGCAGCGAGCGUUGUUCGGAGUUACUGGGCGUAAAGGGUGUGUAGGCGGUUGUUUAAGUUUGGUGUGAAAUCUCCCGGCUCAACUGGGAGGGUGCGCCGAAUACUGAAUGACUUCGAGUGCGGGAGAGGAAAGUGGAAUUCCUGGUGUAGCGGUGAAAUGCGUAGAUAUCAGGAGGAACACCGGUGGCGAAGGCGGCCAUCUGGACGACAACUGACGCUGAGGCGCGAAAGCUAGGGGAGCAAACGGG